Molecule: unclassified non-coding RNA, 240 nt
Filed under: soil metagenome
Description: partial contains 5.8S ribosomal RNA, internal transcribed spacer 2, and large subunit ribosomal RNA
Source: RNAcentral
AACCAUAGAAACCUGCGGAGUACCUGCGGAGGGAUCAUUAUAGUAUAUGGAAUCUCCAUUCUAUAAACCCACUCUGCGUAUCUUGUAACUGUUGCUUCCAUGGGACUUGGUUCCGCCACACCGGCCUCACGGCUGGUGAGCGCCCAUGGAAGGAGAAACAAAACUCUUCUUUGAAAUGUAGUCAGUCUGAACAAGUUUUUAUAAACGUUAAAACUUUCAGCAAUGGAUCUCAGAUCGGAA